RNAcentral lists this ribosomal RNA (240 nucleotides) under uncultured bacterium. Its description in RNAcentral is "partial 16S ribosomal RNA". It matches the Rfam family "Bacterial small subunit ribosomal RNA", at positions 30 to 268 of the family's 1533-position model. The record is from RNAcentral.
AUUGAACGCUGGCGGCGUGCUUAACACAUGCAAGUCGAUCGGUAACAGGUGUAGCAAUACAUGCUGACGAGAGGCGGACGGGUGAGUAAUGCUUGGGAAUCUGCCUAUUAGUGGGGGACAACCCGGGGAAACUCGGGCUAAUACCGCAUACGCUCUACGGAGGAAAGCCGGGGACCGCAAGGCCUGGCGCUAAUAGAUGAGCCCAAGUCGGAUUAGCUAGUUGGUAGGGUAACGGCCUAC